CAUUGUUAAAGUCCGACCACAUGUCGACUGCUUACCAGGAACUUUGCAUAUACAUCUCUCAGAAGCUCCCACAGCCCUGGGAAGUAGUCAGCUCUCUCCCCACUCCACAGAACUGUGGCUCACAUGGGGUAGGGGUUUGCCAGGAGCCAGGUACUGGGCCAACCAAGCACCAGGACUCACACCCAUGCCUUUUAAGGAAAAACAAACCUAGAGUUUCGACAGACUGAAGCAAGGUUUUAGGGAUGAGGUGCAUUUUUGUGGUACUUUUAGCCUCUUCGUGACUUUUAUUUAGUAAGCCGACCAUUUUUUGCAGUAAGUGAAGAAAAAUGAAGUUCAGUCACUGCAAUUACGUAGCCUCUCCGAUGGCAGGUUUCUGCCAUGGGUGUAUCUCCAGGAAUCCCAUCUAGCCAGGCCUGAGAUGAGCACUGGAAAGGUGACAAUACAGAGGCUACUUAGAGGAUACAUUUCUUACAGUCGUGAACUAUGUGUUCUUUACUCCUAGGGCAGCAGUUCUUGGGCCUCACUUGCCCAAGGCUGCUGAAUCAGAACAUCUGGGAAUGAAGGGGACCCAAGCAUCUGCAUGUAAACUAGCUCACGAGCCUGUUCAGUCUCCUUUCUGCUUCUCUGAAUUGAUUGGAGGCUACAAUCAAAUAACAACAACGAAGACCUCUGUGCCUAGCCCUUCCUGGAAGUGAACCGGGAUCCGGGAAGGCGUCCCUAGAUCCAGGCUGGGCCGUGUUUUCCACACACUUUCAC
Bos taurus (domestic cattle) is the source of this 756-nucleotide long non-coding RNA. The record is from Ensembl. NCBI's taxonomy places the organism in Eukaryota, Metazoa, Chordata, Mammalia, Artiodactyla, Bovidae.